Molecule: long non-coding RNA, 1037 nt
Organism: Pteropus alecto (black flying fox)
Lineage: Eukaryota; Metazoa; Chordata; Mammalia; Chiroptera; Pteropodidae
Exons: 4
Source: RefSeq, a predicted model, not a curated record
GCGAAGUGGCAGGAGGGUCGCUCCCCGGGGCUGUCCCCAGGGGAAGAGGAGAGCGAGCAGCAGGGCCGGGGCUGGGCGCCUCUGAGAGGCCAGGCCAGGGAGGGCUGCAGCGCCCUCCUCCUUGGAGCGUGUGUUGGUGGCAGUACGUGGGUCACCUAGGAUGAAGAUGUGGCCGGCAGCUGGGCUCGGAGCUGUGUGUGGUGACUGGAUGCCAGUGAAGGGGUGUCGUCGGCCGAUCCCUGUUCCCCAAAUUCAUCACCCGAGUCCCGACCCCCAGCACCCUCGAGUGUGACUGUAUGUGGAGGCACGACCUUUAAAGAGGGAGACCACGCGGGACACGGGGAGGAGACGCCGUCCACACGCCCAGGAGCGAGGCCUCGGGGCGAACCGCCCGCCCACACCGGGGUCUCGGGCUCUGGCCUCGGGGACCGGGCACGGGAAGCAUCUGCGGUUUGAGCCGGCGGCUGUGGUGCUUCGCUGGCGAACCUGCCAGGAUGCUGUUUUCCUCGUGCCGUCCCAAGUGCAGUUCACGCAGUGACCGUCCUACCCCCCUUGCCUGUCACAUUUGACUGAAAACAUUUCCCAGUUUCUCACUGGCUGUGUAAUGCUUUUGCAACCUCUCUAUCGAGGCAUAAUCCACACGGGACGGACCGCACACGCCCAAAGCACACGGCCCGCUGGGUUCUGCACCCGCGAGGCCGAACACAUCUGCCACCCCCAGAAGCGCCCUCGGUCCCCGCAGCCCCUUCUCCCAUCCCUCCCCGUCCCGGCCCCCCCUUCCCAAGCUCCAGGGGCCCGGUCAGCUCGCAUUUUAUAAGUUUUCCAUAAAUGGAAAUGCAGUAUGUGCUCUUGCCGUCUGGCCCCUUUCGCUCCCAUAACUCGUGUGAGACGCAUCCGUGCCUCGCGUGCCUGGGCCCACAUUCCUUCUGCCUGCCGCGGUGGGGACACACCACAGCUUGUUUACCCAUUCACUGUUGAUGGACAUUUGGGUCGUUUCCAGUUUUUGACGAUUAAAAACAAAGCAGUAUUUACAUUCA